RNAcentral lists this ribosomal RNA (701 nucleotides) under uncultured Moraxellaceae bacterium. Its description in RNAcentral is "bacterial SSU rRNA". It matches the Rfam family "Bacterial small subunit ribosomal RNA", at positions 8 to 703 of the family's 1533-position model. The record is from RNAcentral. Lineage: Bacteria; Pseudomonadati; Pseudomonadota; Gammaproteobacteria; Moraxellales; Moraxellaceae.
AGAGUUUGAUCCUGGCUCAGAUUGAACGCUGGCGGCAGGCUUAACACAUGCAAGUCGAGCGGAGAUGAGGUGCUUGCACCUUAUCUUAGCGGCGGACGGGUGAGUAAUGCUUAGGAAUCUGCCUAUUAGUGGGGGACAACAUUCCGAAAGGAAUGCUAAUACCGCAUACGUCCUACGGGAGAAAGCAGGGGAUCUUCGGACCUUGCGCUAAUAGAUGAGCCUAAGUCGGAUUAGCUAGUUGGUGGGGUAAAGGCCUACCAAGGCGACGAUCUGUAGCGGGUCUGAGAGGAUGAUCCGCCACACUGGGACUGAGACACGGCCCAGACUCCUACGGGAGGCAGCAGUGGGGAAUAUUGGACAAUGGGGGGAACCCUGAUCCAGCCAUGCCGCGUGUGUGAAGAAGGCCUUAUGGUUGUAAAGCACUUUAAGCGAGGAGGAGGCUACUGAGACUAAUACUCUUGGAUAGUGGACGUUACUCGCAGAAUAAGCACCGGCUAACUCUGUGCCAGCAGCCGCGGUAAUACAGAGGGUGCGAGCGUUAACCGGAUUUACUGGGCGUAAAGCGUGCGUAGGCGGCUUUUUAAGUCGGAUGUGAAAUCCCCGAGCUUAACUUGGGAAUUGCAUUCGAUACUGGGAAGCUAGAGUAUGGGAGAGGAUGGUAGAAUUCCAGGUGUAGCGGUGAAAUGCGUAGAGAUCUGGAG